AGAGUCAACAACGCCUCCACCAAGGUUCGAUCUCAUAACCUCCCAUAUGGGAGAGGUUACUACAUGUCAUCUAAGCACAAUGUACUCAUUACAAUAAAA
This is a long non-coding RNA of Ipomoea nil (Japanese morning glory), 99 nucleotides long. RefSeq lists it as uncharacterized. The record is from RefSeq and is a predicted model, not a curated record. NCBI's taxonomy places the organism in Eukaryota, Viridiplantae, Streptophyta, Magnoliopsida, Solanales, Convolvulaceae. The transcript is spliced from 3 exons.